UUUGGGAAAUGAUGCUGAAUUUAUCAACAUUUUCUGAAGCACUGGCAAUGCUGAGUGGUUCUUAUAUUUUGCACGUCAGUCUGAUCCCAAA
This is a small nucleolar RNA of Neltuma alba, 91 nucleotides long. RefSeq annotates it as small nucleolar RNA Z122. Lineage: Eukaryota; Viridiplantae; Streptophyta; Magnoliopsida; Fabales; Fabaceae. The record is from RefSeq and is a predicted model, not a curated record. The transcript has a single exon.